AACCCAUCAUGAGAACACUUCAAGAGUAAACCAUUAAGUCCCUCCCAUGCUUCAAAGAAUUGUUCAUCUCCUUUGUGUGUAAACUCCAAAGUUUCCUUGUGAAU
RNAcentral lists this small nucleolar RNA (104 nucleotides) under Citrus sinensis (sweet orange). RNAcentral describes it as "Plant small nucleolar RNA R71". It matches the Rfam family "Plant small nucleolar RNA R71". Rfam says of the family: R71 is a member of the C/D box family of snoRNAs containing the C (UGAUGA) and D (CUGA) box motifs. Lineage: Eukaryota; Viridiplantae; Streptophyta; Magnoliopsida; Sapindales; Rutaceae. The record is from Rfam by way of RNAcentral. RNAcentral also lists the same sequence under 1 other name.